GGAGGGGUGGCAGAGUAGGUUGAAUGCGAGGGAUUGCUAAUCCCUUGAUUGUGGAAACACGGUCCGGAGGUUCGAAUCCUCUCCCCUUCG
This 90-nucleotide transfer RNA is filed under the name Caudoviricetes sp. RNAcentral describes it as "tRNA-Ser". It matches the Rfam family "tRNA". Rfam says of the family: Transfer RNA (tRNA) molecules are approximately 80 nucleotides in length. The record is from RNAcentral. Lineage: Duplodnaviria; Heunggongvirae; Uroviricota; Caudoviricetes.